Molecule: non-coding RNA, 376 nt
Organism: Alistipes sp. CAG:29
Lineage: Bacteria; Pseudomonadati; Bacteroidota; Bacteroidia; Bacteroidales; Rikenellaceae
Source: Rfam
GGGCAGGCCCGCCCUGUCGCUGCCGGCCGAGGCCGGGAGAGGAAAGUCCGGGCAACACAGAGCACCGCGCAAGCUAACGACUUGAUAUCCGUGAGGGUAUAGGAGCGUAACAGAGAACGACCGCCCGCAGGGGAUUUCCGUAAUCCCGGCGGGUAAGGGUGAAAAGGCGGGGUAAGAGCCCACCGCGGGGGCAGCGAUGCCGUCCGGCAGUACGUCUCGCGGGUUGCAAGACCGUGUAUACCGGCAAUUAAGGGUUGCUCGCCCGAUGCCGGGGGGUAGGUUGCUUGAGACGGCAGGAGACUGCCGCCCUAGAUAAAUGACAGGGGCCCGGGGUUCGCCCCGGGAACAGAACCCGGCUUACAGGGCCUGCACGUAC